AAACAGCUGUCUCAGGCAGAAGGCGCUUGACUCCAGGUGGGCGCUCAGCAGCAAGGGCAGCAAAGUGCUGGGCACACAGAAGGACAACGUGAUGAAGCGCCAUCACAUGGCUGGUAGCCUGUGGUGAGUCACCGGACUUCUCGACUCCCACCUCACUAGGGUGGAAGGAACAGUAACCACAACGCUCUGCAACUCGGGCUGCGCCCGCAUGAUUGGAAACAAUCUGUGAAAUGCCUUCAGCUCUCCAAAACAACAGAAAUGAUCAAAGAUGGAGGCAAGAAGACCAGAGAACCCUAAAUGUUUACUGUCUCCAGUGUGUUUGGAAACAGCUUGGACCAGUGUAGAGUGCUGGAACAGAGAGUCAAGAGCAUCAGGCGCGCCACCCAGAUAGCAUCUGAAAGAUUGUAAACAGGAUGAUUCACAAACUGGUGGCAGCAGCUAAAAGCAGUGCAGUUCGCGACCCUCAGCACACGCCAAGAUUCUAAAUGGGAUGUUGCGACAACAAAGCAGCCUGAAGAUUCUAAAACAUAAUGGUGUCACCAGGACAUUCACAGGGUGCUGUAACCUGUAACUGACAAGCAUACUCAUCAUCAUUUCUCCUUGGGCAUGCUGCAUCCUUGCGCUCCACUGGGCCUCCUGUUGCAUUGCUAUUUAUUUGCAUCUACAAGCAGGGGAGCAAGUAUGCUGCGGAAAUAGCCCCAGAGAGGUGUCUGAUUCCCAUAGGCCCUUGCAGCCAGCUACAACUGAAUGAUUUCCGAUAUCAGUUACUGAAAAUUCUGACCAUGAUAUGCAGACCAUGGCAGAUCUUAAUGACAAUAACAUCAUCUCACAUUUUGAUGGCGUUUAACAGUUUACAAAGUGCUUUCACAUACAUUAUCACAUUUAAUCCCAGUGAGGUCGAUAGUCUUCUUCUCCAUUUUAUUGGCAGCUUGGUGUAGUGGAAAGAGCUGUGGAAUCAGACAGACUUAAGUUCAGAUUCUGCCUCUGACUACCAAACCAUGGACAAUUUGCUUCAUUUCUCUCCCUUUUCUUACCUAUAGGAUGAGGAAUCAUUUCUAUUUCCGAGGUUUGUGGUGAAAAUUAAAUAACAUAUGUAAAGACAUACAAUAUAGGGCCCGAUGCAUAGAAGUACUCGAUAACCAUUAGUUUCUGUCCACUUACAGAGGAAGAAAAUGAAGCUUAAGAGGUUAAGGGAGUUGCUCAAAGUAAUAGCUAGUAAAUGGCAGAACUGAGACUUCAUUUAUUUUACAAAUAUUAUUGAACACCUACUAUAUGCUGGUGCCUUGGGCAUAGGAAAGUGGAUGAGUCAUAAUUCUAGUUUUUGAGAUGUUCACAGUAGAGCGGUGGAAUCUGAAAUGCAAAUAAUCAAUUAUAAUCGAGCGUAAUCUGAGAGGCAAAAAGUACUUAGGGAAUAUCCUAAAGCCAUGGGUGCACCCUAGAGUAUCUACACAAGAGAUAAGUCUGAGGAAGAGGAACCUUCCAGGAGGCAGCAGUAGAGUUACACCUGAAAUAAAAUGUUGGCAGGUGGAUGAGGGUGAGCAAGGAGAGGAGCAUUCAGGCGAAGACAACAGUGUGUGCAUUCAUCAGGAGGGUCAAAGGAGCCUGGCAUGUCCACUGCAGCACAGAAGAGAACCUGAGCAGACAGGAGAGAGAAGGGAGAGGAGGAGGCAAGGAAGCAGGAGUGAGAAGAAUGAAGGGGCUUGCAGGUAAUGCUGAGAAGCGUGCAUCUUUGUCAGUCCACACUGGCACAAACUCUGUGAUGAUUUACAGAGAGAGCCAACCUGGUCAGAUUUGCAUUUUUGAAAUUGUGGCAGCAAUGUGAAAGAUUGACUAGAGGAGGGGAUAAUGGAGGCAGUAGUUCAAUGAGAGAUAAUUAGGCUAUGAACUAAGAAAGUGGCAGAGCAGACAAUUUCAAGCGGUAUAGCAGAGGCAGAAUUGACAGGAUGUGGCCAUUAACUGGAUGUCAAGACAGGAGAGACAGAGAGAACUCUAGGAGGACUCCCAGGCUAUGAGCUUUGGUGGCUGGGCGAACGAAGAUGUCCCCCACUGACGUAGAAGGAGAGGACAUUUGAAGAGAUGAUAAUAAAUUCAUGUGGACAUGUUGACUCUGAGAGACUCAUGGAUAUCAAGAAGGAGGUGUUCAGUAGACAGCUAAAAAUAUGAGUCUGGAGUUUGGGAGAGGACUCACAAUUAGAUGCAUUGAUCUAGGGAUCAAUGGUUUUUAGACAAUGGUUGAAGCUGUUUUUUUAUGCCAAGAGGAUAGAGCAAGAAGAAAAGUGGGUCCUGGAGAACUCUAGGGAAUAUCAAUGUUUAGGUGCUAGAAUGAGGAUUGUUGGAGAGAUGGAACUACCAGGAGAAAGGGAGAGCUCAGAGGCCAGGGAAGGCAAGCAUUUUUUGAUGAUGAAAGUAGAGGAAAGUAUCAAAUUCCACCAAAGGAUCAAAGAAGAUGAGAACUGAGAUAUGCCUGGCAUUUGGGCAAUGAUAAGAUCACUUUGGCAACUUCAGUUUUAGACAAAGUGGUUAAAAAAGAGGCUUUUUUUUUUCUAUGACCCAAUAUAAGAAAAAUAUUUUAGGCCAGACAUGAUGGCUCACACCUGUAAUCCCAACACUUUGGGAGGCCUAGGCAGGUGGAUCACCUGAGGUCAGGAGUUUGAUACCAGCCUGGCCAAUGUGGUGAAACCCCGUUUCUACUAAUAAUACAAAAUUUAGCCAGGCAUGGUGGCAUGUGCCUGUAGUCCCAGCUACCCAGGAGCCUGAGGGAGGAGAAUCGCUUGAACCUGGGAGGCAGAGGCUGCAGUGAACUGAGAUUGCACCACUGCACUCCAGCCUAGGCAAUAGAGUGAGACUCCAUGAAAGAAAGAAAGAGAGAGAGAGAGAGAAAAGAAAAGAAAGGAAAGAAAAGAAAGGAGGGAGGGAAGGAGGGAGGGGAAAGAAGGAAGGAAGGAAGGAAGGAAGGAAGGAAGGAAGGAAGGAAGGAAGGAAGGAAGGAAAGAAAGAAAAAUAUAUUUUACAUUGUGACCUGAGAAAAACUUUCAAGAAACAAUACUUACACUCUGACAUGUCAUGACGUGUCACACGCCACCUGUUCUGUUCUAUUCUAUUCUAUUCUAUUCUAUUCUAUUCUAUUCUAUUCUAUUCUAUUCUAUUGCAUUCUAUUGCAUUCUGUUCCAUUCCAUCCCAUUCUAUUCAAAUGCUGCUUGGCCCUCACUAAAUUGAUUUUAUGACCAACUAGUGAGUUUCAACCUGCAGUUUGAAAAAACAGUAGUUUAGACAAAUACAGUUUUCUCACACAAAAAUUAUAUGGAGCAAAGUGUGGGAUAGAAGAAAGAACAUUGGAUUUUGAGUGAAGACACCUGAUUUUCAGCAUGACUCAUUUACUUACUGACUGUGUGACCUUAGAUGUGCCCAUUAACCUUUGUGUGUCUCUUCUAUUACCUGUAAAAUUCAGAUAAUAGAUCAGCUGCAAAGGGAUCUUCUGGGGAUCAAAUGAGAUAAAAUGCAUGAAUGCAAAAAGCAUAAGCCUAAAAUAGUCCUGGUCAAAGUAAAAUUACCAUAAUCAAAGAAAGAGCAGAAUGGUGCAUGGUGUAUCCCAGUUGGCUCUGGGUCUGUCAUCUGAAUCCUAGAGCCACAUCUCUCCAGAACAUACUGAGAACCAGAAAUGGGAUCAAAAUAAUUUAACCAAUCAAAACAGGUGUUGCUGCUAUAUUUAUAAAAUUCACAAAAUUUACUGACACAGAAGCCCGUGUGAAAUCCCAUCAGAAUCAUUGUAGUCUUGUUCUAAUACUAUUGUAGCCAUGUUGAUUUUCUGAUCUAUAUCUAUGGACCUGUAUCAGAAGGACAUUCAAUAAAAUCCUAUUGGAAGAGGAGCUGAUAGAGGCAAGUAUUUUCGCUACAGUGUGACAUGACAGCAAACAGACUGCAGGGAAACAGCAAGAUGAAAUCAUUUAAUAUAGGCAAUAUGUAAACUUCAGCAGACCCUGGUGAUAUCACUGUAUUAAGGUAUAAUACAAUAACUGAUUUUUAUGGUUCAUUCAACAAACUACUGUGUUUGAGUACUCAAUAUAUGUACUAAUCUAGGUGCAAGGAAGACACAGAUAAACUGGGGAUGUUUCCUAACCCUAAAAAGUGAGCACACAGAUGAGUGAGACAGACACAUACACAGAUAAUUUCCACUAACAUGGUACAGUGAAGAAAAAUAUGCAUCUGAGCAUGAUAUGAUAUUAAUAUGUCAUGAGAGAAAAGAAGAAGAGCAGCUAGCCCAAAGUGGAAGUGGAAUUCAGGUAAUGCUUCUUGAAGGUCAUUUGCCCAAGAUGAGUCUUGAUGAAGAUAAAGAAAGAUGGGGAAACAAUUCAGAAUGAUGGAAUAGCCUGAGAAAGGCAUGAAAGUAUGAAACCUUGCAUAGUGUAGAUAAUAUUUCUAGAUCAUAAAAAAGACAAGUACAGGCUAUACUUAAGAGGUAGGUAUGGUCCUCAAUACUGAGAGUCUUCUAUACCAGGUUAAGAUGUGUAGAGGACAUCACAUUGACCAGAGGAAGCCACUAAUAGGGAUUGAUUACUCUGGAAGCCUUAUGGAGGAGGAAUUUAAAAAUGGAUUAGGCACGUAAGUUAGGGAACAAUUGCAGUGGUUCAGGAGAGACAUAUUGAGGGUAUGAAGGAGAGAAGCAGUAAUAUGGAUGAAGAAGAGGGGUUAUAUUUGAAAAAUAUUUUUGAUACUAUAUUUAGAUGUGAAGGCUGAGGCCAGGUAAUAAAUGCUCCACUUCAGGGACAAAAACAUGACCUAGACUCCCCAAUAGUAUUCACUUUCUUGAGUUCAUGAUUGAGUCUAGAGAAAUUAAUACAUCUCUACAAGGCAUUAUAGUAUGAGGUAGAAGAUGCUAAGUGUUGAAAGAAAGGCACAGACAUAUGGUUAUGGGAGUUAGAGGAAAGAGGCAUAAAUUCCAACUGAGAGUUUUAGGGAAGUCUUCCUGGAAGAAGAGGCAUGCAAGGCAGAUCUUGAAAGAUGGUUAAGAUUUUGCCAUGAGUUGAUGAGAAGAAAGUGCAUUUCUGAUAAAGGAAUAAUCUGAGAAGACAUAGGAUGAAAGAUGGUGUCAUUUUGAGCUAAAAACACAGGCUCUGGAGUCACACAAAGUUGGGACCAAACUUUGGCUCUGUCACAUUCUAAUCACAAAAUUGGGGAUAAUUUAAUUGACACUUCAGAGCCUCGGCUCCUCAUUUGUACGACAGUUAUGACUAUCAUUUAUCUUAUGGGAUUAUUGUGAGGAUUUUUUCCUAUUAAACUUGAUUUAUUGAUUACAAUGAAAUUGACUUACCUCCGAGUUUUAUACUUUCAUGUGUUUUUGUAUCACUAAUUUUUUAUUCAGCUUGGAGCAUUCUCUUUAGCAUUUCUUGUAAGACAGGUCUAAUGGUGAUGAACUCCCACAGCUUUUGUUUGUCUGAAAAAGUCCUUAUCUCUCCUUCAUUUCUGAAUGACUACCUUGCCAGAUAUAGUAUUCUUUGUUGGCUGUUGUUGUUGUUGUUUACCUUUAGUACUUUUUUUUCCUUCUCCUCUUUUAGGGAAUUUAUUUUAAACCUAUUAUACUACACAAUAUGUUUUAAACACUGACAUAUAACUUCCUAAUAAGAUAGAGCUAAGAUAGAGCAAAGACAAAAAAAGUUUAUCUUAUUGGAAACAAGAUACAGCAUCAUUUAUAGUCAUUGUCAAACAUUACUGCACUUUAACUUUCAUAAUUUGACAAAGCAUUCAUGAAACAAUCUGC
RNAcentral lists this long non-coding RNA (5755 nucleotides) under Homo sapiens (human). Its description in RNAcentral is "HSALNT0181583". The record is from RNAcentral. Lineage: Eukaryota; Metazoa; Chordata; Mammalia; Primates; Hominidae.